Molecule: non-coding RNA, 455 nt
Organism: Pelobates cultripes (western spadefoot toad)
Lineage: Eukaryota; Metazoa; Chordata; Amphibia; Anura; Pelobatidae
Source: the annotation of a GenBank genome assembly
CUGUACAAAACUAUGUGAACAGACUUGGUUCGUGGGAUUUUAUAUUUCGUUUGGCAACCGAACAGGUGCAUGAACCAGAGACCACCCAGGAGCUUGUUAAACCUAGUUGACCGUUUGUAACACUUUCCACCACAGCGUGAGGACUUGAGGACUGACUUAAAAAGGUAGGCAGGCGGGGGGCGGGGCCUGACAGCCAAGAUGGCAAGUCGCACAUCCUAAGAGCUCCUGCUACAACCGGCAUAAGUGCGCUAAAACCGAGCAACAGAAACAUGUUAGCAGCACAGGGUGACCAGGAACAAACACAGAACACCAUGCCAAACAAAACGGUACCUGUCCGGCACCAGUACACUGCUGAAAAACCUCUACCGGCCAUGCGGCCUAAAUUAGAGAAAAGCCUGAAGCCCGGGAGAGGCGGACGAUCUCCCGGCACGGGUCAAGCUCACAAACGAGAGCCC